UCAGAUGAGGUAAUCCACCUGAAGAUACGCAGGUUUGGGCCUGGCUGGUUCUUGGAUGGGAGACCAACUAGGAUAGCUUGGAUUGGUUCUGGU
This 93-nucleotide ribosomal RNA is filed under the name Paramormyrops kingsleyae. Lineage: Eukaryota; Metazoa; Chordata; Actinopteri; Osteoglossiformes; Mormyridae. The record is from RNAcentral.